GGGAUUACAGACAUGAGCCACUGCACCCAGCCAAGAAUAGAAUCUAAAGCUAUAACUGAUAAUCUCACAGAGGAGAGAAAGGACAAAGGCUGGCAAAUACCAGAAGUGAUAAUACAGGUCUAGAGGAGAAAGCAUGUUCUAAGAAAUUCAUCCAAAGAGAGAAUGAAGACUAUCUUGGAUUUGAGGAAACAGCCUUUCAGUUUCUCAGUAUCGGUGACAAAGAUCACACAUAUGCAAUAAAGAAGACAGAUGUUCUGUCCUUGGCAUGGAGAACAGCAAGGUCUACCCCUCCUCAUACCUUGUUCUGUAGGUGUCUUAGGUGGGAGAAGCAAGACAAAGUCUUAACUUUUCCUCUGAAUGUAAAGGAUCCAGAGAAGACUGCAUGCCCCCACAAUCCAAAACAGAUUUCCUGCAGCUUCUUCUUGAGGGAGUGAAAGCUGCUUAGAGCAGCGUGUAAAUUCAUGGCAAGAAGCAAUAAAGAUGGGCACUUCCGAAUCUCAGCCAUUCAAGCAACUGCAUCAGGGCCCUCUCUGCAGCAAAACUGCUACAUUUCCAAGACAGCUGUCUAAGCCUAUAGAGCCUGACCCUGGUGAAUGAAAUUAGCACCCCGUUUCUCCUAAAGCUCAGAAACAGAUAAGACUGUUUUAAUCAACAAGUUUAGUUCAGGGGAGAGUUUUACUUUCUCAAUAUACAAAAUAAAAAAGAGAGGAGAGAACAAGACAAAUGGCAAUUAGUCAUUGACAAUGGAAGAUAUGAUGUCUAUGAUGGCCUAGUACAGGGAUAAGAUUGUUUUGUCCUGGAGGUGUCAUUCCUAUCUAUUGAAAAAGUCUGAGAGAUGAGUUGUAUCACAACAAAUUGAAGUUGAGAGAAAACUCAAUUACACUCUGGCAUUCGUUUCUGCCAUCCAUAGGUUAACAAAAUUCCAAAGUUAUAAUUUCACUUACAUUCUAUAAUAUACCAUUCCAGCUAAAUUUUCAUCUCUUCUCUUUCUCCUGCCUUUCUAAAAGAAUAGUUAGCAUUUCAUUUCAGACUUGCAAAAGCUCUGAGAUUCUUUCCUAUCUUUUCCUUCCCAGAGCUCUCUGUAAGUAAAUCAAACCUGUCUUCACUAUACCAUACCCUGCAUUUAGCAGACAAACUCUCGGAGUGUACAAGGGGUGUAAGCUUAACAGACUUGUUCAUCCUUAUGUGGGCAGAAAGGCACUUAUAAAGUAUACUGUUUGAUGAUGACAUCCAAGAUCGAGUUUCAACAGUUUUUCAUGGUCUGCAAAAUGCUGCAGUGCUAAUAAAAUUCUAACCUAGUUUAGAUUAC
Long non-coding RNA from Callithrix jacchus (white-tufted-ear marmoset), 1309 nucleotides. RefSeq lists it as uncharacterized. Lineage: Eukaryota; Metazoa; Chordata; Mammalia; Primates; Cebidae. The record is from RefSeq and is a predicted model, not a curated record.